GCCGGGGUAGCUCAGAUGGUAGAGCAGUGGACUGAAAAUCCACGUGUCCGCAGUUCGAUUCUGCGCCCCGGCACCA
This 76-nucleotide transfer RNA is filed under the name Armatimonadota bacterium. RNAcentral's name for it is "tRNA-Phe". It matches the Rfam family "tRNA". From Rfam's summary of the family: Transfer RNA (tRNA) molecules are approximately 80 nucleotides in length. Their secondary structure includes four short double-helical elements and three loops (D, anti-codon, and T loops). Lineage: Bacteria; Bacillati; Armatimonadota. The record is from RNAcentral.